AGCCUCUGGUCGAUGGAACA
This 20-nucleotide small nuclear RNA is filed under the name Arabidopsis thaliana (thale cress). RNAcentral's name for it is "snRNA_01571". Lineage: Eukaryota; Viridiplantae; Streptophyta; Magnoliopsida; Brassicales; Brassicaceae. The record is from RNAcentral.